GAUUGAACGCUGGCGGCAGGCUUAACACAUGCAAGUCGAGCGGGGGAGAUUGCUUCGGUAAUUGACCUAGCGGCGGACGGGUGAGUAAUACUUAGGAAUCUGCCUAUUAAUGGGGGACAACAUCUCGAAAGGGAUGCUAAUACCGCAUACGCCCUACGGGGGAAAGCAGGGGAUCACUUGUGACCUUGCGUUAAUAGAUGAGCCUAAGUCGGAUUAGCUAGUUGGUGGGGUAAAGGCCUACCAAGGCGACGAUCUGUAGCGGGUCUGAGAGGAUGAUCCGCCACACUGGGACUGAGACACGGCCCAGACUCCUACGGGAGGCAGCAGUGGGGAAUAUUGGACAAUGGGGGGAACCCUGAUCCAGCCAUGCCGCGUGUGUGAAGAAGGCCUUAUGGUUGUAAAGCACUUUAAGCGAGGAGGAGGCUCUCUUGGUUAAUACCCAAGAUGAGUGGACGUUACUCGCAGAAUAAGCACCGGCUAACUCUGU
This 487-nucleotide ribosomal RNA is filed under the name Acinetobacter sp. 'ARUP UnID 12'. RNAcentral describes it as "bacterial SSU rRNA". It matches the Rfam family "Bacterial small subunit ribosomal RNA", at positions 27 to 506 of the family's 1533-position model. The record is from RNAcentral. Lineage: Bacteria; Pseudomonadati; Pseudomonadota; Gammaproteobacteria; Moraxellales; Moraxellaceae.